Molecule: ribosomal RNA, 497 nt
Filed under: uncultured bacterium
Lineage: Bacteria
Description: partial 16S ribosomal RNA
Rfam family: Bacterial small subunit ribosomal RNA
Source: RNAcentral
GAUGAACGCUGGCGGCGUGCCUAAUACAUGCAAGUCGAGCGAACAGACGAGGAGCUUGCUCCUCUGACGUUAGCGGCGGACGGGUGAGUAACACGUGGAUAACCUACCUAUAAGACUGGGAUAACUUCGGGAAACCGGAGCUAAUACCGGAUAAUAUAUUGAACCGCAUGGUUCAAUAGUGAAAGACGGUUUUGCUGUCACUUAUAGAUGGAUCCGCGCCGCAUUAGCUAGUUGGUAAGGUAACGGCUUACCAAGGCAACGAUGCGUAGCCGACCGGAGAGGGUGCUCGGCCACCCUGGAACGGAGACACGGCCCAGACUCCUACGGGAGGCAGCAGUAGGGAAUCUUCCGCAAUGGGCGAAAGCCUGACGGAGCAACGCCGCGUGAGUGAUGAAGGUCUUCGGAUCGUAAAACUCUGUUAUUAGGGAAGAACAAAUGUGUAAGUAACUAUGCACGUCUUGACGGUACCUAAUCAGAAAGCCACGGCUAACUACGUG